AUAAGUAAUUAAGAGUUAUUAUAGAUUGUUGGUUUUUAAGUUUAUUUAAAGGUGAAAUUUAGUAAUAAAAGGUAUCUGCUAGUAAAUCAUAAGUUUCUGAGGUUAUUAAACAUAAGGGAUGGAAUAGGAUUAGAUACCCUAGUACACUUAUACAAAAUAAUAAUUUUGUCUGGGGUAGUAGAUAGAUAUGGGCUUGAAAUCUAAAGAAUUUGGCGGCAUUUAAGUCUAGUUAGAGGAACUUGUGCUGUAAUCGAUAAACCACGAAUAUCUAACUUUAUUUUGUAUAAUUCAGUUUGUAUAUCGCCAUUAUUAGAUAAUCUUCAUAUAGAUUAUUAAGGUAGAAUUUUUCUCUUACAUUAGGUAAAGGUGCAGCUAAUAGUAAAGGUGGUCAUGAGUUACAUUAUUUUUAAAAUAGAUGAAUAUAGUUGCUUGAAAUAGUUGAUUGAAGGUGGAUUUAAUUGUAAAAUUUGUUUAGUAAACAUUUUUGGAAAAAGCUCUUAAAUGUGUACACAUCGCCCGUCAAUCUCAUUUU
Molecule: ribosomal RNA, 532 nt
Filed under: Synalpheus neomeris
Lineage: Eukaryota; Metazoa; Arthropoda; Malacostraca; Decapoda; Alpheidae
Description: partial small subunit ribosomal RNA
Source: RNAcentral